CCCUUAGAUGUCCUGGGCCGCACGCGCGUUACACUGAUGCAUUCAACGAGCUUAUAACCUUGGCCGAGAGGCCUGGGCAAUCUUGUUAACGUGCAUCGUGAUAGGGAUAGAUUAUUGAAAUUAUUAAUCUUGAACGAGGAAUUCCUAGUAAACGCAGAUCAUCAAUCUGCAUUGAUUACGUCCCUGCCCUUUGUACACACCGCCCGUCGCACCUACCGAUUGGAUGGUCCGGUGAACACUCUGGACUUGUUGUCUGUCGGAGCAAUCCAAAGACGAUAGGGAAGUUGUGUAAACCUUAUCAUUUAGAGGAAGAAGAAGUCGUAACA
RNAcentral lists this ribosomal RNA (326 nucleotides) under uncultured eukaryote. RNAcentral's name for it is "partial 18S ribosomal RNA". It matches the Rfam family "Eukaryotic small subunit ribosomal RNA", at positions 1470 to 1796 of the family's 1831-position model. The record is from RNAcentral.